UACCUGCGGAGGGAUCAUUAAAGAGUUAAAAACAACUCCUAAACCCAUGUGAAACCUACCUUUGUUGCCUCGGCAGGUCUGCAACUUACCCUGAGGGUACCUACCCUGUAGGUACCUUACCCGGUAGUUGCGGGCAUAACCUGCCGGUGGUCUACUAAACUCUGUUUACUAUGUCAUUCUGAAUAAUAUAACUAAAUAAGUUAAAACUUUCAACAACGGAUCUCUUGGUUCUGGCAUCGAUGAAGAACGCAGCGAAAUGCGAUAAGUAAUGUGAAUUGCAGAAUUCAGUGAAUCAUCGAAUCUUUGAACGCACAUUGCGCCCAUUAGUAUUCUAGUGGGCAUGCCUGUUCGAGCGUCAUUUCAACCCUUAAGCCCUGUUGCUUAGCGUUGGGAGCCUACAGAUACCCUCUGUAGUUCCUUAAAGUUAGUGGCGGAGUCGGUUUCACACUCUAGACGUAGUAAAUUUUAUCUCGCCUAUAGAUGAGCCGGUCCCUUGCCGUAAAACCCCCUAAUUUCUAAAGGUUGACCUCGGAUCAGGUAGGAAUACCCGCUGAACUUAAGCAUAUCAAA
This 570-nucleotide ribosomal RNA is filed under the name Xylaria sp. DoF10. RNAcentral's name for it is "eukaryotic LSU rRNA". The stretch from base 205 to 358 matches the Rfam family "5.8S ribosomal RNA". Lineage: Eukaryota; Fungi; Ascomycota; Sordariomycetes; Xylariales; Xylariaceae. The record is from RNAcentral.